GAAAUCUCCUAAUAUAUUCAGAAUUGAUGUGUAAUCCCCCAUAAAAUACAUCGUUUCCAUUGUAAAAAUCAGUGAUGCAAACCCACUUCACGCGCAGCACCCACCUGCACCGUACCACACAACGCUGUGACAACACUAACACGAAGCUGAUGCUGAUUGCUCAACAGUGAGGGAUCCCUGCCCAGGAGCAGCCAGCACCGUGGAGCUGACUCUUUUCAUCAUUCCGAUGUUGGGAAUUUU
RNAcentral lists this long non-coding RNA (240 nucleotides) under Homo sapiens (human). RNAcentral's name for it is "HSALNT0344655". Lineage: Eukaryota; Metazoa; Chordata; Mammalia; Primates; Hominidae. The record is from RNAcentral.